Non-coding RNA from Blyttiomyces helicus, 83 nucleotides. The record is from the annotation of a GenBank genome assembly. NCBI's taxonomy places the organism in Eukaryota, Fungi, Chytridiomycota, Chytridiomycetes.
UCCGCAUUAGUCCAGUGGUUAGGAUACCUCGCUCUCAAGGUCUGGGUUCCGAGGUGGCCGGGGUUCGAUUCCCCGAUGCGGAA